Molecule: ribosomal RNA, 2350 nt
Filed under: marine metagenome
Description: bacterial LSU rRNA
Rfam family: Bacterial large subunit ribosomal RNA (bases 1102-2350)
Source: RNAcentral
AUGUGCAAAGGCCAUCAGCUGGCCGAUGUUUCUGCAAUUAUCGGCACGAUGGACGUCGUGUUUGGGGAGAUUGACCGCUAAUGCUUCGCCGCCUUCACCCCAUUCAACCCGACAGCUUUGCCUUUACGCCUGAAAAUCUUGCUUGGGCGCGGGGCCAAAUUUCGAAAUAUCCCGAAGGGCGCCAGGCUUCGGCGAUCAUUCCACUUUUGUGGCGCGCUCAAGAGCAACAUGGCUGGCUGACCCGCCCUGCGAUUGAAUAUGUGGCCUCAAUGCUUGGGAUGGCCUAUAUUCGUGCUUUGGAAGUGGCCACAUUUUAUUUUAUGUUCCAACUGCCCCCGUGGGCUCGGUGGCGCAUAUCCAAAUUUGCGGCACCACUUCUUGCAUGAUUUGUGGGGCCGAGGCGCUGAUCGAGACCUGCCAAGAGCUGAUCGCCCCAAGGGCGCAUAUGCUGUCGGUGGAUGGUAAGUUUUCGUGGGAAGAGGUCGAAUGUCUGGGGGCGUGCACGAAUGCGCCCAUGGCCCAAAUUGGCAAAGAUUAUUAUGAAGAUCUGACCCCCACCAUUUUGCGUGAGUUGAUAGCGAAAUUCUCGUCCGGCGACGUGCCGCGCCCGGGUCCGCAAAACGGACGUUUUGCAUCCGAGCCAAAAUCAGGUCUGACCAGUCUUGAAGAUUUUGCAACAGGCGGUGGGCAGUUCAAUGGCUCGGUUUCUUUGGCUUUGGCAAUUGGCGAUACGGUCAAGCGGAUCGAUGGCAGCGAAGUGCCGCUGUUGACCCCUUGGUUGGGUAAAGCGAGCCCGAAUGCUGCACCAAAAACUGCGGCCCAAAAGCCCGACGCCGAAUGAAGCGGAACAGAAAGAACAUUAUGACCAACUCGAAUGCAUACGCACUGGCCAAACAAGCCCGCCUUUCCGCAGUUGUUAUGGUGGUGACCAUGGGGCUUUGGCUGGCAAUGCAAUGGCUUGGCGGGCAGAUGGGGUGGGACACUCGGUUUGUAUUUUUGUUCGACAUGGCGGCGAUCGCCGCCUUUGUUUGGACACUAAACAUCUCUUGGCGACUAUGGCGUAGGCGCAACGCCGAUCACAGUUCGAAUUGAGGGCAAAACAUGCUGGCAGAUAAAGACCGGAUCUUUACCAACCUUUACGGGAUGCAUGAUCGCAGCCUGGCAGGCGCUAAAAAGCGCGGCCAUUGGAGCGGGACCGCAGGCUUUAUCAAGAAUGGCCGCGACUGGAUUGUCGAGCAAACCAAAGCCUCGGGGCUGCGUGGGCGCGGUGGCGCUGGGUUUCCAACGGGUUUGAAAUGGUCAUUCAUGCCCAAAGCCUCGGCCUCAAUUUAAUGCGAUGUGGGGACGGAGAAGGUUAGGUCAGCCAGGUGUUGGAUAUCCUGGUUCAAGCGUGUAGGUAGAUUCUUUAGGCAAAUCCGGAGAGUCAAUACUGAGGCGUGAUAACGAAGUGAACUCUGUUCAUGAAGUGAUUGAUACCAUGCUUCCAAGAAAAGCCACUAAGCUUCAGUUAAGUUGAGACCGUACCGCAAACCGACACAGGUGGGCAGGAUGAGAAUUCUAAGGCGCUUGAGAGAACUCUGGAGAAGGAACUCGGCAAAUUUGUACCGUAACUUCGGGAUAAGGUACGCCCCUGUAGGUUGUAGCAAUUUACUUGCGAAGGCCGAAGGGGUUGCAGUGAAAAGGUGGCUGCGACUGUUUAAUAAAAACACAGCACUGUGCUAACACGAAAGUGGAUGUAUACGGUGUGACGCCUGCCCGGUGCUCGAAGGUUAAAUGAUGGGGUGCAAGCUCUUGAUUGAAGCCCGAGUAAACGGCGGCCGUAACUAUAACGGUCCUAAGGUAGCGAAAUUCCUUGUCGGGUAAGUUCCGACCCGCACGAAUGGCGUAACGAUGGCCACACUGUCUCCUCUAGAGACUCAGCGAAGUUGAAAUGGUUGUGAAGAUGCAAUCUACCCGCGGUUAGACGGAAAGACCCCAUGCACCUUUACUAUAGCUUUACAUUGGACUUUGACAUCAUCUGUGUAGGAUAGGUGGGAGACUUUGAAGCAGGAUCGCUAGAUCUUGUGGAGUCACCCUUGAAAUACCACCCUGAUGUUGUUGAGGUUCUAACCUAGACCCCUUAUCGGGGCCAGGGACCGUGUAUGGUGGGUAGUUUGACUGGGGCGGUCUCCUCCCAAAGAGUAACGGAGGAGCGCGAAGGUACCCUCAGCAUGGUCGGAAAUCAUGCAAUGAGUGCAAUGGCAUAAGGGUGCUUGACUGCGAGACGGACAUGUCGAGCAGGUACGAAAGUAGGUCAUAGUGAUCCGGUGGUUCUGUAUGGAAGGGCCAUCGCUCAACGGAUAAAAGGUAC